AUACGGAGGGGACUAGCAUUGUUCGGAAUUACUGGGCGUAAAGAGUUCGUAGGCGGAUAAGCAAGUAAGAGGUGAAAGCCCAGGGCUCAACCCUGGAACUGCCUUUUAAACCGCUUAUCUAGAGACCGGUAGAGGUUAGGGGAAUACCUUGUGUAGAGGUGAAAUUCGUAGAUAUUAGGUGGAACACCAGUGGCGAAGGCGCCUAACUGGACCGGUACUGACGCUGAGGAACGAAAGCGUGGGGAGCAAACAGGAUUAGAUACCCUAGUAGUCC
RNAcentral lists this ribosomal RNA (274 nucleotides) under uncultured bacterium. RNAcentral describes it as "partial 16S ribosomal RNA". It matches the Rfam family "Bacterial small subunit ribosomal RNA", at positions 523 to 796 of the family's 1533-position model. The record is from RNAcentral.